This 794-nucleotide ribosomal RNA is filed under the name uncultured bacterium. Its description in RNAcentral is "bacterial SSU rRNA". It matches the Rfam family "Bacterial small subunit ribosomal RNA", at positions 29 to 835 of the family's 1533-position model. The record is from RNAcentral.
AUCAACGCUGGCGGCGUGCCUCAGACAUGCAAGUCGAACGAUUAAACUUUCCUUCGGGAAAGAUAUAAAGUGGCGCACGGGUGAGUAACACGUAGGUAAUGUACCGAAGGGUGGGGAAUAACUUAGGGAAACUUAAGCUAAUACCGCAUAAUGCAGCGGCUCGACAUCGAGACAGUUGUUAAAGGAGCAAUCCGCCUUUUGAGCAGCCUGCGGCAGAUUAGCUAGUUGGUAAGGUAAUGGCUUACCAAGGCUACGAUCUGUAACCGACCUGAGAGGGUGGUCGGUCACACUGACACUGAAUAACGGGUCAGACUCCUACGGGAGGCAGCAGUCGGGAAUUUUGGGCAAUGGGCGAAAGUCUGACCCAGCAACGCCGCGUGAAGGAUGAAGUCUCUCGGGAUGUAAACUUCGUAAGAAUAGGAAGAAUAAAUGACGGUACUAUUUGUAAGGUCCGGCUAACUACGUGCCAGCAGCCGCGGUAAUACGUAGGGACCAAGCGUUGUUCGGAUUUACUGGGCGUAAAGGGCGCGUAGGCGGCGUGGUAAGUCACUUGUGAAAUCUCCGAGCUUAACUCGGAACGGUCAAGUGAUACUGCUGUGCUAGAGUACAGAAAGGGCAAUCGGAAUUCUUGGUGUAGCGGUGAAAUGCGUAGAUAUCAAGAGGAACACCUGAGGCGAAGGCGGGUUGCUAGGCUGAUACUGACGCUGAGGCGCGAAAGCUAGGGUAGCAAACGGGAUUAGAUACCCCGGUAGUCCUAGCCCUAAACGAUGUAUGCUUGGUGUCUGGAGUAUUAA